This 674-nucleotide ribosomal RNA is filed under the name Fibroporia sp. L14122-Sp. RNAcentral's name for it is "eukaryotic LSU rRNA". The stretch from base 258 to 411 matches the Rfam family "5.8S ribosomal RNA". The record is from RNAcentral. Lineage: Eukaryota; Fungi; Basidiomycota; Agaricomycetes; Polyporales; Fibroporiaceae.
AGGAAGUAAAAGUCGUAACAAGGUUUCCGUAGGUGAACCUGCGGAAGGAUCAUUAAUGAAUUUUUGAAAUGGGGUUGUAGCUGGCUCUAAAUCGGGGCAUGUGCACACCCUAUUCAUCCGUUUCUAUACACCUGUGCACCUUUUGUAGGUCGGUCGUACGGGGAAGCCGAAAGGCUUUCUUAGGUCUUCCUACGUUUUUAUUAUUUUAAACCCUUGAAUGUCUUUGAAUGUCUUUGCAUUAAUAAUGCAUUUAAUACAACUUUCAGCAACGGAUCUCUUGGCUCUCGCAUCGAUGAAGAACGCAGCGAAAUGCGAUAAGUAAUGUGAAUUGCAGAAUUCAGUGAAUCAUCGAAUCUUUGAACGCACCUUGCGCUCCUUGGUAUUCUGAGGAGCAUGCCUGUUUGAGUGUCAUGGAAUUAUCAAUCCCCCUUUAUUUUAUUGUAAAGGCGGGCUUGGAAUUGGAGGUUUUUUUUGUUGGCCGCAUUAAUGGUGGUCAGCUCCUCUUGAAUACAUUAGCUUGAGCCUUUAACGGGUCGGCUUAUCGGUGUGAUAAAUUUAUGCCGUGGUCGGUUUCGUGAAUAAAUUCAAGCUUCUAAUCGUCCUUGUUGAAGGGACAAAAUACAUUUGACCUCUGACCUCAAAUCAGGUAGGAUUACCCGCUGAACUUAAGCAUA